GAUGAACGCUGGCGGCGUGCCUAAUACAUGCAAGUCGAGCGAACGGACGAGAGGUUUGCUUCUCUGACGUUAGCGGCGGACGGGUGUGUAACACGUGGAUAAUCCAUCUAUAUGACUGGGAUAACUUCGGGAAACCGGAGCUAAUACCGGAUAAUAUUUUGAACCGCAUGGUUCUAAAGUGAAAGACGGUCUUGCUGUCACUUAUAGAUGGAUCCGCGCUGCAUUAGCUAGUUGGUAAGGUAACGGCUUACCAAGGCAACGAUGCAUAGCCGACCUGAGAGGGUGAUCGGCCACACUGGAACUGAGACGCGGUCCAGGCUCCUACGGGAGGCAGCAGUAGGGAAUCUUCCGCGAUGGGCGAAAGCCUGACGGAGCAACGCCGCGUGGGUGAUGAAGGUCUUCGGAUCGUAAAACUCUGUUAUUAGGGAAGAACAUAUGUGUAAGUAACUGUGCACAUCUUGACGGUACCUAAUCAGAAAGCCACGGCUAACUACGUG
RNAcentral lists this ribosomal RNA (497 nucleotides) under uncultured bacterium. RNAcentral describes it as "partial 16S ribosomal RNA". It matches the Rfam family "Bacterial small subunit ribosomal RNA", at positions 28 to 507 of the family's 1533-position model. The record is from RNAcentral.